Molecule: ribosomal RNA, 496 nt
Filed under: uncultured bacterium
Lineage: Bacteria
Description: partial 16S ribosomal RNA
Rfam family: Bacterial small subunit ribosomal RNA
Source: RNAcentral
AUGAACGCUGGCGGCGUGCCUAAUACAUGCAAGUCUAGCGAACAGACGAGGAGCUUGCUCCUCUGACGUUAGCGGCGGACGGGUGAGUAACACGUGGAUAACCUACCUAUAAGACUGGGAUAACUUCGGGAAACCGGAGCUAAUACCGGAUAAUAUAUUGAACCGCAUGGUUCAAUAGUGAAAGACGGUUUUGCUGUCACUUAUAGAUGGAUCCGCGCCGCAUUAGCUAGUUGGUAAGGUAACGGCUUACCAAGGCAACGAUGCGUAGCCGACCUGAGAGGGUGAUCGGCCACACUGGAACUGAGACACGGUCCAGACUCCUACGGGAGGCAGCAGUAGGGAAUCUUCCGCAAUGGGCGAAAGCCUGACGGAGCAACGCCGCGUGAGUGAUGAAGGUCUUCGGAUCGUAAAACUCUGUUAUUAGGGAAGAACAAAUGUGUAAGUAACUAUGCACGUCUUGACGGUACCUAAUCAGAAAGCCACGGCUAACUACGUG